CUCUAAUUUGUUUCUCAUUCUAUUAGUCUCCCAUACACGAUUGAUGCGAAACUGAUAGAUGCAUGUACAUACAUAUGCGUAUGUCCAGCAUGUCCAUGCCUUGCCUUCAAUUAACAUACCUUGCACGGUUCUGGCUCACUCAAUCUCACAAUCUCAGCCGGUGUAAUGUGACAGCGACGCGUUGCGUUGGCCGCGGCCCCCCCACCCACGCUUCACCCAUUAAACAUAGCAGAGCAACAAAAACAAAAUGAAAUGAAAAACAAGGGAAAAUGUUAAUCAUUCACAAGUCCUUGAAGAAAGUCGCAAUAACAUUAUACUUUCGAUGGUGCCACAACGCAGUUGUUUCUUUGUUUUUCCAAGAAAAUGUCGACGUUCGAGUAAAAAGAAAAUUGCAAUCACCCCACCACAAAUGUACAUCAGUAUGUAUGAAUUAACGUUUCUGUAUGAGCAUCUGUAUGCCUCUUAGUGUGUGUGUCAGCCAUCACAGGGCUCUCAUUGUGAACGUGAACUGGGUGCCACACCACAAGCCAUUGUGGGCCAGCAAAUCCAACGAACG
Drosophila obscura is the source of this 556-nucleotide long non-coding RNA. RefSeq lists it as uncharacterized. The transcript is spliced from 2 exons. Lineage: Eukaryota; Metazoa; Arthropoda; Insecta; Diptera; Drosophilidae. The record is from RefSeq and is a predicted model, not a curated record.